RNAcentral lists this long non-coding RNA (339 nucleotides) under Mytilus galloprovincialis (Mediterranean mussel). The record is from RNAcentral. Lineage: Eukaryota; Metazoa; Mollusca; Bivalvia; Mytilida; Mytilidae.
CCCCUUUUUUGCUCCUAAUUCAUAAAGAGAUUGACUCCACAACUCCAAUCCUAACCAUCCUUUUGUGGUGAUACAAUUUCAGGCAAUUCUAUACACUGUUCCACAAGUUAUUGUCUGGACACUAGAAAAAUGCUUAUUUGGGCCCCAUUUAUACCCCUUAUUCCUAAUCCAAAGGGACCAUAUCCCGAAAAUCAAUCCAAACCUUCCUUUAUUUUGUUUCAAACUUUGUGUUUAAAUUUCAAAGAUUUAUAUUUACUUAUACCUAAGUUAUUGGCAAAUUUCCAAUUAUGCUAAAAUUAUUGGCUGAUUUCCAAAGUAUACUUCAGUUAUUGGCAAAUU